Long non-coding RNA from Bufo bufo (common toad), 258 nucleotides. RefSeq lists it as uncharacterized. The transcript is spliced from 3 exons. NCBI's taxonomy places the organism in Eukaryota, Metazoa, Chordata, Amphibia, Anura, Bufonidae. The record is from RefSeq and is a predicted model, not a curated record.
AGUAGGGACACUAUACAGGCAGCAGGUACUCUAUACAGACACACACUGUACAGUAGGGACACUAUACAGGCAGCAGGUACUCUAUACAGACACACACUGUACAGUAGGGACACUAUACAGACAGCAGGUACUCUAUACAGACACACUGUACAGCAGAGACACUAUACAGGCAGCAGGUACUUAUACAGACACACUGUACAGUAGGGACACUAUACAGGCAGCAGGUACUUAUACAGACACACUGUACAGCAGGGACAC